CCUACGGGAGGCAGCAGUGGGGAAUAUUGCACAAUGGGGGAAACCCUGAUGCAGCGACGCCGCGUGAGUGAAGAAGUAAUUCGUUAUGUAAAGCUCUAUCAGCAGGGAAGAAAAUGACGGUACCUGAGUAAGAAGCACCGGCUAACUACGUGCCAGCAGCCGCGGUAAUACGUAGGGGGCAAGCGGUAUCCGGAUUUACUGGGUGUAAAGGGAGCGUAGACGGCAGUGCAAGUCUGGAGUGAAAGGCUGGGGCUCAACCCCCGGACUGCUCUGGAAACUGUACGGCUGGAGUGCAGGAGAGGUAAGUGGAAUUCCUAGUGUAGCGGUGAAAUGCGUAGAUAUUAGGAGGAACACCAGUGGCGAAGGCGGCUUACUGGACUGUAACUGACGUUGAGGCUCGAAAGCGUGGGGAGCAAACAGGAUUAGAUACCCCUGUAGUC
RNAcentral lists this ribosomal RNA (440 nucleotides) under uncultured bacterium. Its description in RNAcentral is "partial 16S ribosomal RNA". It matches the Rfam family "Bacterial small subunit ribosomal RNA", at positions 338 to 795 of the family's 1533-position model. The record is from RNAcentral.